GAAGAUCAGUAAUAAACUUCUUCUAAUGGAGAAGCAGGCCAUCAGAAUGAUAAGUGACUUCAAUGCCAAGAAAGUAAUUGAGGACUCCCAAGUCCUUGAUCUUAAACUCAAGGUCCAGAAACCUUUUUAAAGCAGUAAUCUCCUCCAAAUCAUUGCCAGUCAGUAUAAAUAUCAUCAACAUACACAGCCAACAAAACAAUAAAAGAAGUAUAUUUCUUAAAGAAUAGGGAAUAAUCAUUGAAGGAAACCAGUUAGUAUAAUAUCAUCAACAUACACAGCCAGCAAUACAAUAGAAGAAGUAGAUUUCUUAAAGAAAAGGGAAUAAUCAUUGAAGGAAGAAGAAUAGCCUCUAGAACAGAGGGCUUGAGACAGCUUGGCAUACCACUUCCUAGAAGCUUGUCUCAGUCCAUAUAAGGAUUUCUAAAGAAGACAAACCAGAGGAGAAGAAGAGGAGGAACAGGUGACAGCCAGCCCAGGAGGUAGUUUCAUAUAAACCUCUUCAUCCAAAUCACCAUGUAAAAAGGCAUUAUUUACAUCAAGUUGAAAAAGAGAGUAAUUCUGCUUAACAGCAACAUCAACGAGGGACUUAAUAGUGGAAAACUUGACAACAGGAGAAAAGGUUUCUACAUCAAGUUGAAAAAGAGACUAGUUCUGCUUAAUAGCUACAGCAAUGAGGGACUUAAUAGUGGAAAACUUGACAACAGGAGAAAAGGUUUCAUUGAAAUCUACUCCCUCAACUUGUGUGUCACCCCUAAUAACCAAUCUAGCUUUAUAUCUUUUCACAGACCCAUCAGCCCUGUACUUGAUCUUAUAGACCCAUUUGCAUCCAAUAGGUCUUUUACUAGGGGAAAGCUGAACUAUAGACCAAGUGUGAUUAGCUUCUAAAGCUGCAAACUCCUUUGUCAUCAUGCAGGGAGACAGGCAGCCUACUGAUAGGAAGUAGGCUCUACCUGUGCACUGUAAACCAAACUAUGAAGACAAGUGGAAGAAGAACUGGAGCCAGAGAGAGAUGGAGGAAGAUUGCAGACAUACUGUUGUAGAUGAGCAGGAGAAAUGUGAGUCCUGCUGGACCUUCUAGGAGCAGGUGUAGUAGCUGCAGGAGGAGGAUGGUGCAAAGAAGGGGAGGUUGAAUAGGUAGAAAUAGGAGGUGCAGAUGUGGAAGAGGGUGAAGAAGAAGGACUGAGUAAGGAAUCAUCAGUAGGAGGAAAGUAAACAGGAUAUGGAUUAAGAGUAGGAGAAGAAACAGAAGAGGUAUUCCCUGAAGAGGCAAAGGGAAAGACAUCUUCAUGAAAAACCACAUCCCUAGAGACUAUUGUAAGUUUAGUCUUCAAGUUGUACAGCUUGUACCCAUUUUUACCCAAAGGAUAUCCCAGAAAAACACAAGGAUCAGCUCUACGCUGAAGUUUGUCCCUGUGCUGCUUGGGGACAGAAGCAAAACAAAGAUACCCAAAGGUUUUAAGAUGGUUGUAAGAAGGGGUUUUUCCAAAAAGCAACUCAAUAGGGGAUACAUUGUUAAGUAGUUUGGAAGGAAAUCUGUUUAUGAGAUAGGUUGCAGUAAGCACAAAAUCUCCCCGUAUGAUACGGAUUGAACAGAACGAAAUCGAAGAAAUGAAGAACCAAAAAGAGAGAGAAAGAGGAACUGAAUGUAUUGCUAUAAUCUGUUAUGUCGUUCUGUACAAGAAG
Molecule: long non-coding RNA, 1683 nt
Filed under: Nicotiana benthamiana
Lineage: Eukaryota; Viridiplantae; Streptophyta; Magnoliopsida; Solanales; Solanaceae
Description: long non-coding RNA (NBEN_LNC026862)
Source: RNAcentral